CACGUAGGGGACGAGCGUUGUCCGGAUUCAUUGGGCGUAAAGCGCGCGUAGGCGGCUCGGAAAGUCGGUCGUGAAAUGCCGGGGCUCAACCCCGGGACUGCGUCCGAUACUUCCGGGCUGGAGGUAGGUAGGGGAGAUCGGAAUUCCUGGUGUAGCGGUGAAAUGCGCAGAUAUCAGGAGGAACACCGGUGGCGAAGGCGGCUCACUGGCCCGGUACUGACGCUGAGGUGCGAAAGCGUGGGGAGCAAACAGG
This 253-nucleotide ribosomal RNA is filed under the name uncultured bacterium. RNAcentral describes it as "partial 16S ribosomal RNA". It matches the Rfam family "Bacterial small subunit ribosomal RNA", at positions 524 to 776 of the family's 1533-position model. The record is from RNAcentral.